Long non-coding RNA from Saccoglossus kowalevskii, 884 nucleotides. Lineage: Eukaryota; Metazoa; Hemichordata; Enteropneusta; Harrimaniidae. The record is from RefSeq and is a predicted model, not a curated record.
UAACGAGAUAGUACAGGGCAGUGUUGAUUGAACGUCUUCCACGGACCGUCGUGCCUAGAAAGGUGACCUCCGACCAAUGUACCCACAUUCAGUGACUGACUGAGUUACGGAGACGACAGCCAACCUGCCGUCGAGCUACUGGCCAAAUAUCCCUAAGCCGGCAAGUCUUCGCUCUCCAUCGGGUUUGUCCAUGUUAUUUUCAAGCACUUGUUCACAUAUAUGUCUUUACUUAACGCGUUUGACUAGUCGACAAUCACAGCCCUUUUAAGUACAUCAAAGAUCCUGAACACACGGCAGUCAUCAUGCUCCACGAAUUGAUCGUCAUCGAUAUUGGGUCGGAUGGAAGCCUGGUCAUAUUGGCAUCACAGAUCUACCGCGGACACCACAAGAUCCGAAAAAGCAAAGUACCGCCAACAGUAGAAAUUGUAAUGGACAUCAAGAAGACCACAUAGUGCCGUUCAUAUCCGGACAUCUCACACACAUACACGAAGCAUUACGGACCGCGUACUGUCAGAUAUUUGGUUUCUGCAGUUCGCAAUCAAAAACAUUGAACUCAGUAAAUCAACAUGGGCGGCUUCCCGCAGUCAGGAGUGUCGUAUACACGGUCUGGUUGAACUCGAUAAGAGAUAAGUAAUAGUUACGUGACGUCAUUGGUUUUAACUUGUCUGCAUUCUGAUUUGGUGGCUGUUCAAAGCGCUGAGAAAUGAGAACGCUCUUUUACCGGGUGAUGGCGCUGUUUCAAGAGAAAUGAUCCUGGUUGCCGUUUGUGCGCUAUUGAGUAGCUGAACUACGUAGAGGCGUAGGGUAUUACGUAGAGGCGCUUGUUGCAGUGACUUCAUCUCAGAAUCGAAUUGCUAUAAACCAAUAAAGAUUAGUUGUAAUUU